AUUGAACGCUGGCGGCAGGCCUAACACAUGCAAGUCGAGCGGAGCGGCGGACGGGUGAGUGAUGACUAGGAAUCUGCCUGGUAGUGGGGGAUAAAGUACGGAAACGGGAGCUAAUAACGCAUGCUAUCAAGGGAGCCUAGGUCGGAUUGGCUAGUUGGUGGGGUAAAGGCCUACCAAGGCGACGAUCCGUAGCUGGUCUGAGAGGAUGAUCAGUCACACUGGAACUGAGACACGGUCCAGACUCCUACGGGAGGCAGCAGUGGGGAAUAUUGGACAAUGGGCGAAAGCCUGAUCCAGCCAUGCCGCGUGUGUGAAGAAGGUCUUCGGAUUGUAAAGCACUUUAAGUUGGGAGGCGUUACCAACAGAAUAAGCACCGGCUAACUUCGUGCCAGCAGCCGCGGUAAUAC
RNAcentral lists this ribosomal RNA (407 nucleotides) under uncultured bacterium. Its description in RNAcentral is "partial 16S ribosomal RNA". It matches the Rfam family "Bacterial small subunit ribosomal RNA", at positions 30 to 526 of the family's 1533-position model. The record is from RNAcentral.